CAGGUGGAAAAGGAGGGAGCUACUCUAAGGCUGAGUGGAGCGACAGUGCCCAGGGGUCUGAGUCUCACAGCUUGUAAAGCCUGAGACAGCUGCCUUGUGUGCGACUGAGAUGCACAGCUGCCUUGUGUGCGACUGAGAUGCAGGAUUUCCUCACGCCUCCCCUAUGUGUCUUAGGGGACUCUGGCUUCUCUUUUUGCAAGGGCCUCUGAAUCUGUCUGUGUCCCUGUUAGCACAAUGUGAGGAGGUAGAGAAACAGUCCACCUCUGUGUCUACCAUGACCCCCUUCCUCACACUGACCUGUGUUCCUUCCCUGUUCUCUUUUCUAUUAAAAAUAAGAACCUGGGCAGAGUGCGGCAGCUCAUGCCUGUAAUCCCAGCACUUAGGGAGGCCGAGGAGGGCAGAUCACGAGGUCAGGAGAUCGAAACCAUCCUGGCUAACACGGUGAAACCCCGUCUCUACUAAAAAAUACAAAAAAUUAGCUGGGCGCAGAGGCACGGGCCUGUAGUCCCAGCUACUCAGGAGGCGGAGGCAGGAGAAUGGCGUCAACCCGGGAGGCGGAGGUUGCAGUGAGCCAGGAUUGUGCGACUGCACUCCAGCCUGGGUGACAGGGUGAAACGC
Molecule: long non-coding RNA, 618 nt
Filed under: Homo sapiens (human)
Lineage: Eukaryota; Metazoa; Chordata; Mammalia; Primates; Hominidae
Description: HSALNT0103932
Source: RNAcentral